This 1475-nucleotide long non-coding RNA is filed under the name Helianthus annuus (common sunflower). RNAcentral describes it as "hypothetical non coding rna". Lineage: Eukaryota; Viridiplantae; Streptophyta; Magnoliopsida; Asterales; Asteraceae. The record is from RNAcentral.
UACCCUUUUCGAGAUAACAAUCUUUCUUUGCUUUUAUAUAUCUGCAAAAUUACGAGACAUAGAUCCAAGAUUUGCCGCCAUGUUAAUCUUGAUGAUUAGAACUGCAAAGGGUUGUGGUGAUUUGAAGAGUAAUUUGAGGGGAGUAGUGAGGGAAGAUGAUGGGAUAAUUUAAAAUGAUGAAGACAAAUAGGUGAGUAUCUUUGACUUUCAGAUUGAAUACCAUAUUUAUUUGUUUGUUAAUUUGUUAAUUUUGUAUGUAUAUGGUUGGGGUUUUGAAUUUUAAACUUUAUUAAUGUUCCCUGUUUUUUUUUUUUUUUUUUUGAACGGCAAAUUUGGAUCACUGACAGACCACUGGAGUAUCAUCGUGCCACCAGAGGAACCACCCGAUCAUAUCCAUCUCCACUAGGCAUAAUGUCACACCAAUUCAGGAGUAAACCCAAUAAACAUGGGAAAACCCCCCUUGUGGGAAUCGAACCCAGGACCUAUUGGUCCCAAAGCCUUAUCCCACCACCAAGAUGUCACUAGGCUAUAAAGCCAUGGGCUAAUGUUCCCUGUUUGUAUUAUGCAUAAUUUGUUUUUGUUGUUUUGCAUAGAUAUUGGGGAGAUAAUGUUUAAUCAACCAAAAUGUAAAGUUCUAUUAGAAAUAAGAUUUGAAUAAUUAGCCGGUUCUACUAGAAAUUAAAAUGAACAUUGUGUUAUCUAAGCGAAAUCAUUACAUUGAUGCUUUUAUAUGUUCGUAAUCAUGCUCAACUUUUCUCAUCUAACAUCUUUAACUGGAUGCUUUAUAAUUAUUUGAUAGACAUUCGUGUGCAGAAGUUUGUUCUGGUUUAUACGUGCUAAGGGUAUACGGGGCACCAGCGGGGAGUGCCUUCGGUGACCCAAUUCCCCUAGCGGGAACACCGCCGCCAUCCCUGCGGUGACCCAAUUCGGUGAAUGGGAUCGGUGGGAGGUUACCGCGUGAAGGGAGAGAGGGAGAGGGUGGCCCACAAGCUUUUCAACCAAUCAAAUUAUUUUCUUUUUUUUUUCUUUUUUUUUUCUUUUUGAAUAAAAAAGUAAGUCCCCUAAGAGAGGAGUGCCGCCAUCAAAUUGAGGGUGUGAGGGAGUUUAAGAGGGGAGUUGACGUGGCGCGUGCUGAUUGGUCGUGCGUAAGGGAGGGGACUCCCCUAAGAGGGGAGUGCCCCUCUCACCCUAAAAUUGCCAAUAUUGGUGGUCCGCGCUACAUGUACGGUCAGGAGCGCAAAGGGAAAAAAGAUAAAACACAGCUUCACUUAUUUACACCCAGAUGCUUGCAGAUAACUGAUGUCAAGACUAGAAAGGUUUCAAACCAUUGUUGGAAUUGACCAAUGAUGAUAUACAACCCUUUUUGAUAAUAUGUACAAUUGUAAAUAUUUAUUAGAAUAGUUAUUAUAUACUUUUUAUUUAUCAGGUAUGUAUUGAUCAUUCGCUUAUUAUGUCAAAAUAUGUUUUUAGCAUUU